GACGAACGCUGGCGGCGUGCUUAACACAUGCAAGUGGAGCGACGAACCAGGGCUUGCCCUGGGGCAGAGCCGCGAACGGGUGAGUAACACGUGGGUAACGUGCCCCGAUGACUGGGACAACCCGGGGAAACCCGGGCUAAUACCAGAUGUGCCCCCUCACAUCAGUGAGGUGUGUAAAGGAAGCUUCGGCCUCCGCAUCGGGAUCGGCCCGCGGCCCCUUAGCUUGUUGGUGAGGUAACGGCUCACCAAGGCUGCGAUGGGUAGCUGGUCUGAGAGGACGAUCAGCCACACUGGGACUGAGACACGGCCCAGACUCCUACGGGAGGCAGCAGUGGGGAAUCUUGCGCAAUGCGCGAAAGCGUGACGCAGCAACGCCGCGUGGGGGAAGACGGCCUUCGGGUUGUAAACCCCUUUCAGUUGGGACGAAGGUCGGGCGGUUAACAGCCGUUCCGGCUGACGGUACCUGCACAAGAAGCCCCGGCUAACUACGUG
RNAcentral lists this ribosomal RNA (492 nucleotides) under uncultured bacterium. Its description in RNAcentral is "partial 16S ribosomal RNA". It matches the Rfam family "Bacterial small subunit ribosomal RNA", at positions 28 to 507 of the family's 1533-position model. The record is from RNAcentral.